GACGUAGGUGGCAAGCGUUACUCGGAAUUACUAGGCGUAAAGCGCGCGCAGGUGGCGGUCUAAGUCAGUUGUCAAAUACCCUGGCUCAACUGGGGUCCGCGACUGAAACUGGAUUGCUCGAGUGGGGCAGAGGAAGUCGGAAUUCCCGGUGUAGCGGUGGAAUGCGUAGAUAUCGGGAGGAACACCAGAGGCGAAGGCGGAUUUCUGGGCCUUUACUGACACUGAGGCGCGAAAGCUAGGGGAGCAAACAGGAUUAGAUACCCUGGUAGUCCUAGCUGUAAACGAUGGAAACUAGGUGUGGGAGGUAUCGACCCCUUCCGUGCCGACGCUAACGCAUUAAGUUUCCCGCCUGGGGAGUACGGCCGCAAGGUUAAA
Molecule: ribosomal RNA, 375 nt
Filed under: uncultured bacterium
Lineage: Bacteria
Description: bacterial SSU rRNA
Rfam family: Bacterial small subunit ribosomal RNA
Source: RNAcentral